This 1160-nucleotide long non-coding RNA is filed under the name Homo sapiens (human). Its description in RNAcentral is "non-protein coding lnc-COPG1-2:4". The record is from RNAcentral. Lineage: Eukaryota; Metazoa; Chordata; Mammalia; Primates; Hominidae.
CCUAGGCUGAAUGGGACCAGCCUGGCCAACAUGUUGAAACCUCAACUCUACUAAAAAUACAAAAAUUAGCCAGGCUUGGUGGCAUGUGCCUGUAAUCUCAGCUACUUGGGAGGCUGAGGCAGGAGAAUCACUUGAACCUGGGUGGUGGAGGUUGCAGUGAGCCGAGAUCACCCCACUGCACUCCAGCCUGGGCGACAGAGCAAGACUGACUCAAUUUAAAAAAAAAAAGAUAAAAAUGGUGCAUCUCUAUAGGGCGUUUACCAUGCCUGGAGCUUGUGGGACUGGAAGUUGCUCUGAUACGCAGCCUGGUCUACAGGAAGAAUUCUAUGUAUAUUUGCUGAAGAGACAAAGAAGGAUGUGGAUGAAUUGGAUGUGGAGAAUGAGAGGAAAGAAAAUGUCAAGGAUGGCUCUAAUUUCUGGCUUAUGCAACUGAGUGGUGCCAUUGAGAGAGACUCUCUCUCUUGCCUUCUUGGUUGGCACACUGGGGAGAAGCGAGCUGCAGCGUUGGAGAGGCCCAUGUGGCAAGGGACUGAGAGCAGCCUCUGGCCAACAGCCGCUGAUCCUACAGAUGAGAAUCUAGCCCUUGUGCUGCCUCAUGAGAGACCCUGGAGCAGAGGCCCCAGCUGAGCUAUGCCUGGAUUCCUACCCACAGAAACUGGAAGACAAUAAAAGUGUCGUUUAUGUUUUUUUAUUCUGGUAAAAAUCAUAUAACAUGAAAUUUUUCCAUUCUAACCAUUAAAAACAUGUCUUUUUGUGUGUGUGAGACAGGGUUUCGUUCUGUCACCCAGGCUAGAGUGCAGUGGUGCAAUCUCGACUCACUGCAACCUCUGCCUUUCAGGCUCUAGUGAUCUUCCCACCUGGUCAGCCUCCCAAGUAGCUGGGACUACAGGUGCGCACCACCAUGCCCAGCUAGUUUUUGUUUGUAUUUGUAGUAGAUAUGGGGUUUUGCCAUUUUGCCUAGGCUGGUCUCGAACUCCUGGGCUCAAGCGAUCCACCCUCAAAGUGCUGGGAUUACAGGCAUGAGCCACUGUGCCCAGCCUUAUUUUUAAAAUUUUUUAAAAUUUUUUUAUAGAGAGGGGUCUCAAUAUGUUGCCCAAGCUGGUCUCAAACUCCUGGCCUCAAGCCAUGUUCUCAAGCUUCCUAAAGUGCUGGGAUUACAG